Molecule: ribosomal RNA, 444 nt
Filed under: uncultured Bacteroidales bacterium
Lineage: Bacteria; Pseudomonadati; Bacteroidota; Bacteroidia; Bacteroidales
Description: bacterial SSU rRNA
Rfam family: Bacterial small subunit ribosomal RNA
Source: RNAcentral
GUGAGGAAUAUUGGUCAAUGGGCGAGAGCCUGAACCAGCCAAGUCGCGUGCGGGAAGACGGCCCUACGGGUUGUAAACCGCUUUAGCCGGGGAGUAACAAGCGGCACGCGUGCCGCCGUGAGAGUACCCGGAGAAUAAGCAUCGGCUAACUCCGUGCCAGCAGCCGCGGUAAUACGGAGGAUGCGAGCGUUAUCCGGAUUCAUUGGGUUUAAAGGGUGCGCAGGCGGCGCUCCAAGUCAGCGGUCAAAUUUCCGGGCUCAACCCGGUCCCGCCGUUGAAACUGGGGUGCUUGAGCAGGUGCGACGGAGGCGGAAUGCGUGGUGUAGCGGUGAAAUGCAUAGAUAUCACGCAGAACCCCGAUUGCGAAGGCAGCUUCCGAGCACCCGUCUGACGCUGAGGCACGAAAGCGUGGGUAUCGAACAGGAUUAGAAACCCUAGUAGUCC